AUCGCGCCCAGAGUAGUUUGGCGACCCUCAGCCAGGCGUGGUCCGGGAUUGGAAAUCCAAGGACCGCAAUGUGCGUUCGAAAUGUCGAUGUUCAUGUGUCCUGCAGUUCACA
This 112-nucleotide ribosomal RNA is filed under the name Cryptocercus darwini. RNAcentral describes it as "partial 28S ribosomal RNA". Lineage: Eukaryota; Metazoa; Arthropoda; Insecta; Blattodea; Cryptocercidae. The record is from RNAcentral.